AGGAAAGAUAGUGGGCCUGAUGGGCUGGAAGUAUCUUAAAGCCCUAGACUUCUCCAUGGGCUUUUUUCGUUGGGCCUCAAUUUUUCUCUGAAGCGGAUGGAAUAGUGGAGUUCGGAUGGGGGGAAGAAAUCGAAACGAGAUGGCGGCGGCGGCGAUUCUCCUGCGGCGGAGCUCUAUUCCGGCGGGCGGCGCCCGCUCGCGGAGGAGCGGGGUCGCCCCCCCCUCCCCUCCACGCUCCUCCUCCUCCGGAAGCUUAAAUAUUUCCUAUCGUUGAAGAAAGCAAUGUUGGAUGAUAUGCUUAUUAUCCACUACAAUCAACUGGGUUGUGGUGUUUACAAAGAUUUUGGUGUAUGUUCUCAUGCUUCUCUGUACAGAAUUGAUGUGAAGUAAUACAUCUUUGUAACUCAAGACUAUACUAUGCACUUCUCCAUUCAGAUACAAUAAUGGAAAAUUCAAACAGGACCAAAAUUUGCUUUGUUCCAAAUGCACCCAGUGGUAGUGUGGUACAGUGGGUUUGGUGGACAAAUAAAGGAGCUUCGUACUGUUGCAUUGGCUACUUCUGGGGAGCUCCUCCUUUUGUAGCAUUUGAUUCCCUCCUUGCACACACACUUGCCACAUUUCAUGGCAGGGAGCAUAAAAGCACACUGCCCUUUGUUUUUAAGUGCCUGACAACUGUUGCCUCCCCUGGGUCCUUGCCACGUUCAAGUUGAAGAGGAUCGGAUUGAUUGGGAUAGGAGUUGCAGAUCCAACAAAAUCCUACUGAAAUAUAUACCACAAUGGGUUUACUUAACAACAAGGCAGUAAACUUAUUUCUUUUACUGAAACAUCAACACAUACUCCAAUGCACAGUGUCAUGAACUGUGAACACUGUAUUAGAUAGAUAAGAUGUUCACAAGCUGUAGCACUGUAUUGUUUGUGCAUGGUGAUUUGUUGAUCUCCCGAUGGAUUGCCUGGAUAUACCAAAAAGACAGGAAGAGGUGGAUUUGCAGCAUUUGGGGCUGAAGUAUAUUAUACUAAAGGAAAGAGGGAAGAGGGGGAGGGGAGUGAUUGAUGAGCAGUAAAUAAGGACUGCAGCAGCAACCCAGCAAGUCUCCUCAAUGGAAGACGGAUAGAGGAGAGAGAGCACAGCAGGACUACAGGAGGCGAUGAGGCAAGAAAAGGAGGAACAAGGACCUACAAGCUGUUUAUGAUGGACAGCACUGCUUGGAGAUCUAGCACAAUAAAAGCUAGACCCUCCUCCCCCUUGGCAUCAUCAUCAUCAUCAUCAUCAUCUCUCGCAUAAAUACAAGCUGCUCUUUUUUACUCGUGGCAUGCAGAGGCCAACAGGCCAACACAAGAUCUUUGCAUUGCUUCUGUAUUAAACCUCUUUCACCGGCGCAAGCAAGUGGAGGUGGACGAUGGGGCCUUUAUGCAGCGAAGUGAAUGUGCAGACAAUGGCUGGGUGGCUUGGACCUAAAUGAGGUAUAGUGCCCGGUGUAGUGUUGGCUGAAUACAAGAAACCUAUGAUCUAAUUAAUCCUGAAACAUCUACUGCACCCCACUUUGCUUACUUACUACACUACUCUGAAAAUUAUGGACAACAAUUAUACCUGAGAGAAUGAUGUUGUCUGGAGAAAUUUUCAGUGGAAUGCUUGCCUGGGUUCCAACAAAAACUAAUGGCAUUGCAUCGUACGUACGUCAGUGUGCAUACACUGUGCAACGGUGCUUGCUACAUGUGAUCGAUUUUUGAUCAGUGUCUGCAACAGUGCAAGUAAAUGUGCAUCAUGAAGAGACAUAAAAAGGAUGGAUGAUAGUUAGGUGAGGAGCCCAAAGCACAGUAAGAGGGGGAAGGAAGGAACACGGAAAGAAUUUAGUCUUAUGCCCUGAUUGCGGAGCUUAAGAUUAGAGUAAUUUUACCAUCCUUAAGAAGAUACCUUCUAUGUAAUAUUUGAUAUCUCUUGAUAUCUUAAAAAACCAAAUUUUACAUAGAAAACAGUUAUUUACUCAAGGAUGAAAAAAAUGCUAUUACGAUUAUGAUAAGUAAUUGAUCACUGAUGAGAAGUCAGUCGGUGAGUAUAUAAAAUGUUGAGUUUCCAUGUUUUUGGCUUUAGUUACUAUAACCAUAAUUA
Molecule: long non-coding RNA, 2107 nt
Organism: Oryza brachyantha (malo sina)
Lineage: Eukaryota; Viridiplantae; Streptophyta; Magnoliopsida; Poales; Poaceae
Exons: 5
Source: RefSeq, a predicted model, not a curated record